This is a non-coding RNA of Macaca mulatta (Rhesus monkey), 456 nucleotides long. The record is from RefSeq and is a predicted model, not a curated record. NCBI's taxonomy places the organism in Eukaryota, Metazoa, Chordata, Mammalia, Primates, Cercopithecidae.
AGCCGAGACUACACUUCCUGUGAGGCCUCGGCAGCGGCGGCGGAGCGGCGUGGUCAGAGAGAGCUUCAGAGAAGCCGUGGUGGGUUCGGCGUGACGGUGGAGGAGGAGGCGAGUCUCGGUUUCUUCAUGUGGCUGCAGAUGGCAGGAUUUUCCAAAGCUUUGUGGCUGAAACAUAUUCUGUGGUGUAUCUAUACAGCAGUUUCCUCAUCCCUGCAGCUGCGUAUGCAUAGAUUCAACAGUAUGGCUCCAAAUGAUGACAUUUCAUUCUGUUUUUCUGGUUGAAGACUAUUCUAUUUGUGUACAUCCAUCGCAGUUACUUUAUCCCUUCAUCUGUGGCUGGACAGGUUUUUCCACAUGGCUGCAAAUGACUAGAUGUAACCCAUUUCUAUGGUUGAAGAAUACUCCAUUCUGGAUGCAUAUUGCAGUUUCCUCAUCCCUUCAUCAGUGAAUGAACGG